RNAcentral lists this ribosomal RNA (253 nucleotides) under uncultured bacterium. RNAcentral's name for it is "partial 16S ribosomal RNA". It matches the Rfam family "Bacterial small subunit ribosomal RNA", at positions 524 to 776 of the family's 1533-position model. The record is from RNAcentral.
UACGGGGGGGGCAAGCGUUGUUCGGAAUUACUGGGCGUAAAGGGUUCGUAGGCGGCCAUCUAAGUCAGACGUGAAAUCCCCCGGCUUAACCUGGGAACUGCGUCUGAUACUGGACGGCUUGAGUGCGGGAGAGGGAUGUGGAAUUCCAGGUGUAGCGGUGAAAUGCGUAGAUAUCUGGAGGAAUACCGAUGGCGAAGGCAGGUCUCUGGGCUGACACUGACGCUGAGGCGCGAAAGCCAGGGGAGCGAACGGG